RNAcentral lists this ribosomal RNA (443 nucleotides) under uncultured bacterium. Its description in RNAcentral is "partial 16S ribosomal RNA". It matches the Rfam family "Bacterial small subunit ribosomal RNA", at positions 338 to 795 of the family's 1533-position model. The record is from RNAcentral.
CCUACGGGGGACUGCAGUGGGGAAUAUUUGGCAAUGGGCGCAAGCCUGACCCAGCAACGCCGCGUGAAGGAAGAAGGCUUUCGGGUUGUAAACUUCUUUUCUCAGGGACGAAGCAAGUGACGGUACCUGAGGAAUAAGCCACGGCUAACUACGUGCCAGCAGCAGCGGUAAUACGUAGGUGGCAAGCUGUAUCCGGAUUUACUGGGUGUAAAGGGUGGGUAGGCGGGGACGCAAGUCAGAUGUGAAAACCACGGGCUCAACCUGUGGCCUGCAUUUGAAACUGUGUUUCUUGAGUACUGGAGAGGCAGACGGAAUUCCUAGUGUAGCGGUGAAAUGCGUAGAUAUUAGGAGGAACACCAGUGGCGAAGGCGGUCUGCUGGACAGCAACUGACGCUGAGGCGCGAAAGCGUGGGGAGCAAACAGGAUUAGAUACCCGUGUAGUC